CCCCACCCUGUGGUGUUGCAGGUGUGGUUCCUGCUUGGAGAGGUUAUAAUGAAUUAGUGGGCUCACUUAUGAGUAGGUUUUUAUCUCGAAAGGAGCACCUGUGGGGACAGGUGUCUGAGCUUUGGUUUGUGUGGUUCAGAGAACCCGAUGUGCAGGCAUGUGGUGGGCAGGUGGUUUGAGCCUGGGUGUCUUUGCUUUCCUCUGAUUUUUUUUUGUGUUCUUUUGUUGAAGUCACCACAGAAUGAGGGAAAUUGUUGAACCAUCAUGGUGUUGAAGAUGCAGCUUUGUAUGAGGCCUAAUAUCGACUAUACUGACUGGAGCAAGCCCAAGCUGGAGGGGUGUUUUGGUGUAUUUGUCACUAAUCUCCAGAUUUUUCAACAAGUGCAAAGAAUAAAGCACUAA
Molecule: long non-coding RNA, 402 nt
Filed under: Anas platyrhynchos platyrhynchos (common mallard)
Lineage: Eukaryota; Metazoa; Chordata; Aves; Anseriformes; Anatidae
Description: lncRNA (ENSAPLG00000029819.1)
Source: RNAcentral